Long non-coding RNA from Ochotona curzoniae (black-lipped pika), 938 nucleotides. RefSeq lists it as uncharacterized. The record is from RefSeq and is a predicted model, not a curated record. The transcript has 2 exons. NCBI's taxonomy places the organism in Eukaryota, Metazoa, Chordata, Mammalia, Lagomorpha, Ochotonidae.
UUCUCCUGUGCAAUGCUUGGGGACCCCCCACCUCUAUCCCCUCACCGGGCUGUGGGGACAGGAGGGAGAGGGCUGCCGCAAGUGGUCGUUGGUUCUCAGGGCUCCUGUCAGCCAGCAGAACCGCUUACAACCCUUGAGCUCUUCUUGGCGUUCUGGAGUAGAAUUCGAGUUGGAUAUGCUUCGCUGCUGGAAGCCGUUGUGGCACGUCAGUGCCAGCUGCUGGGUGGGACUCAGGUGGUCGUCGCUAGGGGGUAGUCGCUGCAGGAGCCCAGGUUCCCCAAGGCUGUUGGAGUCCAGGCAGAUGAAGGCAUCUUUACAAAGUUUGUGGAAGGUCAUAAGCAGAAAGCUGGAUCGGAAGUAGAGCAACUGGGAUUCAAAUUGCCACCCACAUGGAUACUGGCACCACAGGCAGAGGCUUAACUCACUACUACUCCAUGGCGCUGACCCUCACAAACAUAUCUUUUCACUCCAGUGUUUUGUAAAUUUUUUCCAAAUCCCUUGCUGGUGUGCAGGGAAGACACUCCAGCCUUUGAGGAGGGGGCCCCUGGUCUUGCCCAGUAGCAGCAGCCAACCUCUAUGCCCUAGGGGGUAGCUCACUUCCUUACCCUGAGUAGUCUCAGGUCUGCCUCAAGUAGCAUCCCCUGUUUAUACCCAAGGUCCUUAGACGCCGCCCCCCCAUAAGUGUCUCAUUUUCCAUUGUUUCUCCCUUCCUUCUGUGGUAGUGGGCUGGUACCUCGUGCUUGGUGUCCCCAACCCAGCGUCUAGGUCACUGGUUCCUUUCCCUCCCCUGCGAAACUUUCUCCCCAGGGCCAGGGGAGGGAAAGGAAGACACUUUUUGGCUGUCUCUGGUCUACCCUCCAUGCCAGCAACUCACAGAGUGGACACAGAGGGCACUCACAGUAGGAAGACAUGAGCUGCCUCCGAGGUGAUGCCGUGGU